AACGCUGGCGGCGUGCUUAACACAUGCAAGUCGAGCGAAGCACUUAUCAUUGACUCUUCGGAAGAUUUGAUAUUUGACUGAGCGGCGGACGGGUGAGUAACGCGUGGGUAACCUGCCUCAUACAGGGGAAUAACAGUUAGAAAUGGCUGCUAAUGCCACAUAAGCGCACAGGACCGCAUGGUCUGGUGUGAAAAACUGAGGUGGUAUGAGAUGGACCCGCGUCUGAUUAGGUAGAUGGUGGGGUAACGGCCUACCAAGCCGACGAUCAGAACCCGGCCUGAGAGGGUGAACGGCCACAUUGAGACUGAGACACGGCCCAGACUCCUACGGGAGGCAGCAGAUGGGGAAUAUUGCACAAUGGGGGAAACCCUGAUGCACCGACGCCGCGUGAAGGAAGAAGUAUCUCGGUAUGUAAACUUCUAUCAACAAGGAAGAAAAUGACGGUACCUGACUAACAAGCCCCGGCUAACUACGUGCCAGCAGCCGCGGUAAUACGUAGGGGGCAAGCGUUAUCCGGAUUUACUGGGUGUAAAGGGAGCGUAGACGGAAGAGCAAGUCUGAUGUGAAAGGCUGGGGCUUAACCCCAGGACUGCAUUGGAAACUGUUUUUCUAGAGUGCCGGAGAGGUAAGCGGAAUUCCUAGUGUAGCGAUGAAAUGCGUAGAUAUUAGGAGGCACAGCAGUGGCGAAGUCUGCUUACUGGACGGUAACUGACGUUGAGACUCGAAAGCGAGGAGAGCAAACAGGAUUAGAUACUAUGGUAGUCCACGCCGUAAACGAUGGAUACUAGGUGUCGGGGUGCAAAGCAGUUCGGUGACGCAGCAAACGCAAUAAGUAUUCCACCUGGGGAGUACGUUCGCAAGAAUGAAACUCAAAGGAAUUGACGGGGACCCGCACAAGCGAGUGGAGCAUGUGGUUUAAUUCGAAGCAACGCGAAGAACCUUACCAAGUCUUGACAUCUGCCUGACCGUUCAUUAACCGGAGCUUUCCUUCGGGACAGGCAAGACAGGUGGUGCAUGGUUGUCGUCAGCUCGUGUCGUGAGAUGUUGGGUUAAGUCCCGCAACGAGCGCAACCCCUAUCCUUAGUAGCCAGCAGUCCGGCUGGGCACUCUAGGGAGACUGCCGGGGAUAUCCCGGAGGAAGGCGGGGACGACGUCAAAUCAUCAUGCCCCUUAUGAUUUGGGCUACACACGUGCUACAAUGGGGUAAACAAAGGGAAGCGAAGCGGUGACGGUUAGCAAAUCUCAAAAAUAACGUCCCAGUUCGGACCGCAGUGUGCAACUCGACUGCAAGAAGCGGGAAUCGCUAGUAAUCGCGAAUCAGAAUGUCGCGGUGAAUACGUUCCCGGGUCUUGUACACACCGCCCGUCACCCCAUGGGAGUCAGUAACGCCCGAAGUCAGUGACCCACCCUUAUGGAGGGAGCUGCCGAAGGCGGGACCGAUAACUGGGGUG
This 1451-nucleotide ribosomal RNA is filed under the name uncultured organism. RNAcentral's name for it is "SSU rRNA". It matches the Rfam family "Bacterial small subunit ribosomal RNA". The record is from RNAcentral.